This 1112-nucleotide ribosomal RNA is filed under the name Lysinibacillus sphaericus. RNAcentral's name for it is "bacterial SSU rRNA". It matches the Rfam family "Bacterial small subunit ribosomal RNA", at positions 28 to 1117 of the family's 1533-position model. Lineage: Bacteria; Bacillati; Bacillota; Bacilli; Caryophanales; Bacillaceae. The record is from RNAcentral.
GGCAACCGGGGCGGGCGUGCCUAUACAUGCAAGUCGAGCGAACAGAGAAGGAGCUUGCUCCUUUGACGUUAGCGGCGGACGGGUGAGUAACACGUGGGCAACCUACCUUAUAGUUUGGGAUAACUCCGGGAAACCGGGGCUAAUACCGAAUAAUCUGUUUCACCUCAUGGUGAAAUAUUGAAAGACGGUUUCGGCUGUCGCUAUAGGAUGGGCCCGCGGCGCAUUAGCUAGUUGGUGAGGUAACGGCUCACCAAGGCGACGAUGCGUAGCCGACCUGAGAGGGUGAUCGGCCACACUGGGACUGAGACACGGCCCAGACUCCUACGGGAGGCAGCAGUAGGGAAUCUUCCACAAUGGGCGAAAGCCUGAUGGAGCAACGCCGCGUGAGUGAAGAAGGAUUUCGGUUCGUAAAACUCUGUUGUAAGGGAAGAACAAGUACAGUAGUAACUGGCUGUACCUUGACGGUACCUUAUUAGAAAGCCACGGCUAACUACGUGCCAGCAGCCGCGGUAAUACGUAGGUGGCAAGCGUUGUCCGGAAUUAUUGGGCGUAAAGCGCGCGCAGGUGGUUUCUUAAGUCUGAUGUGAAAGCCCACGGCUCAACCGUGGAGGGUCAUUGGAAACUGGGAGACUUGAGUGCAGAAGAGGAUAGUGGAAUUCCAAGUGUAGCGGUGAAAUGCGUAGAGAUUUGGAGGAACACCAGUGGCGAAGGCGACUAUCUGGUCUGUAACUGACACUGAGGCGCGAAAGCGUGGGGAGCAAACAGGAUUAGAUACCCUGGUAGUCCACGCCGUAAACGAUGAGUGCUAAGUGUUAGGGGGUUUCCGCCCCUUAGUGCUGCAGCUAACGCAUUAAGCACUCCGCCUGGGGAGUACGGUCGCAAGACUGAAACUCAAAGGAAUUGACGGGGGCCCGCACAAGCGGUGGAGCAUGUGGGUUUAAUUCGAGGCAACGCGGAGAACUUUACCAGGUCUUGACAUCCCGUUUGAACCACUGUAAAGAUAUGGUUUCCCCUUCCGGGGCAACGGUGACAGGUGGUGCAUGGUUGCCGUCAGCUUCGUGUCUUGAGAUGUUGGGUUAGUCCCGCAACGGGCGCAACCCUUUGAUUCUUAG